CGAACAAGAAAAUUGCGUCAACACGUUUUCGUUCUUUCUCAUCGUGCGGGAACGAUGAUGUUACGUGUAAACAAAGCAUGAGAGGCAAAGAAAGUGUAUGUACGAUAAAAAAAAAAGAAAAUAUAUUAUAAAUCAUUAAAAACGAUCCUUAUAUAUCUUCUCUAAAAUAACUCUUUGAAACUUAACGAAUAAAAGAGAGAACAAAGAUUCUCGAAACAGAGAAAGAGAAAGAGAAAGAACAAACGAUGAAUUCACCAAAUAAAUUGAAUCGUAGUUUCAUUGAAUGUGAUUGAUAAAACUGUAAAGAAAGAUAAAUGAAAAAAAAAAAAAAAGUAGUAUUUUAUAAAAGGGGUUAAAAGCGAAGCACUGAUUAGAAAGAAUGGAAGUAAGGAUGUGGACGUGACGAACCUUCCUUUAGGUGGGAAGCGUGGGCCGAUGUGCGGCAACGAAUCGGGCGUUCUCUCACGACCUGGGCUGGCUCGGCUAAACAGGAACAUGCGUCACAUCACUCUCUACCGGAUACUCGCGGAACUAAUCGAAGUCGUGCAUCGAAAUCGAUCGUGCGUCAGCCAUGAUCGAUCCUCGAGUUACCUCGUCGAACGAGCAAACGGGAAAACAGGGGGAAAGGAAAGGAGAAUAGGCCGCGUUCUAGAUCGUUCGAAAUCUAUUCCAACGUGAUAACCAAGCGUAACCGCCGUACAUAUAUAGCAGCCUAUUCUCGACAAAGUUCGUAAAGUGUACGCUUUGGACGCGGCUCGAGCUUUCGUUUCAUUCAAAUUCAAAGAUACGCUAUAUAUCUGCAUGCUGCCACUACGAAACGAAACAACCGAUUUUUUUUUUAUUUCUCCCCGUUUUACUCGCCUGAACGCACCUUUCUGUCGAUCCCAACUCGUUCCCCUCGUGCGUGGACGCCUGCACUUGACUCGUUAACAGAAAAUCUUUCACGCAGACAGAGAGAAUUAAAAAAAAAAAAAAAAAAAAAAAAUAAAAUAUACAAUUGGAAGAAAGAAGAAGAAGAAGAAAAAAAAAAGAAAAAACAAAAACGUUAAAAAAAAAGUCGAUGAAUCGAGAGUUAGCAUUAGCCGAUGCGAUCAGGCGACACGAAAAAGAUCGACGACCGAUUAAUAUUAAUAUUAUCGUAUAUUUUCGUAUACGAACACAUUUUUGUUAUUAUCGUUCCAUCAUUCGUCGUUUUUUAUCGAUUCGUUUCAUUGAUUACUCGUCUCGUUGAUCGGUGAUCGAGCACCGACCCUCGUUGAUUAGUAUUAUACGACAUUAUACAUAGCCCCCUGUUACGUGA
This is a long non-coding RNA of Apis florea (little honeybee), 1300 nucleotides long. The record is from RefSeq and is a predicted model, not a curated record. Lineage: Eukaryota; Metazoa; Arthropoda; Insecta; Hymenoptera; Apidae.